Molecule: ribosomal RNA, 466 nt
Filed under: uncultured bacterium
Lineage: Bacteria
Description: partial 16S ribosomal RNA
Rfam family: Bacterial small subunit ribosomal RNA
Source: RNAcentral
GAUGAACGCUGGCGGCGUGCUUAACACAUGCAAGUCGAACGGAAAGGCCCAAGCUUGCUUGGGUACUCGAGUGGCGAACGGGUGAGUAACACGUGGGUGAUCUGCCCUGCACUUCGGGAUAAGCCUGGGAAACUGGGUCUAAUACCGGAUAGGACCACAUUUUGGAUGGUGUGGUGGAAAGUUUUUCGGUGUGGGAUGAGCUCGCGGCCUAUCAGCUUGUUGGUGGGGUAAUGGCCUACCAAGGCGUCGACGGGUAGCCGGCCUGAGAGGGUGUACGGCCACAUUGGGACUGAGAGACGGCCCAGACUCCGACGGGAGGCAGCAGGGGGGAAGAUUGCACAAUGGGCGCAAGCCUGAUGCAGCGACGCCGCGGGGGGGAUGACGGCCUUCGGGUUGUAAACUCCUUUCGCUAGGGACGAAGUGUUAUGUGACGGUACCUGGAGAAGAAGCACCGGCUAACUACGUG